This is a long non-coding RNA of Panicum virgatum (switchgrass), 691 nucleotides long. RefSeq lists it as uncharacterized. Lineage: Eukaryota; Viridiplantae; Streptophyta; Magnoliopsida; Poales; Poaceae. The record is from RefSeq and is a predicted model, not a curated record. The transcript is spliced from 3 exons.
UCCGUCCGUCCACCUGCCCGGACAGCCGCCCGUGGACCUCCUUCCCACAAAGGCUCGCUAGUGUUGAUCCAAAAAAAAAGGCUCGCUGGUGGCCUGGCCACCGGCGCUUGACGGCCCACGUGUGCAAGGCCUACUCGGCGUACAGGCUCGCUGGCCACGCUCCUCCCCUGUUCGCCUCGCGAGUUUGCCUUAGCAUCACGCAGUCUCACCGCCCAGCCACGCUUGCUGGCGCAGAGGGCACUGAAUCGCCGCACCUCGGCUACGCGCCACUUGCUGCGCCCGCCGCUCCACCUCCCGUCAAUGCCUGCCGUUCCCAUCGCACCACGUCUGCCGGCGCAGCGCCUUCCGUAGUCCCGCUACUCGGCCAGCCCACUCAACCGCCGCAUCUUGGCACCUCAUUGUACGCCUCCUCAACUGCAUCUGCCAAUGAAUGCUACCGUUCUUGCCAUGGUGGAGCCGUUCUUGGCAUUCAUUUGCAGCAUGCACAUAAACUCCACCCCCAUUAGCCAUUCUACUAUUCCUUCCCCAAGCCUAUAUCCCGAAGGACCAAAGAUCUCCCCGCUGCUGGUGCACCAAAUUCAUGGAGUCCGUGUAGAGGGAGGGCACAACGUCCUGAUCAAAACAAAAAGUUCACAUAAAUUGAUUUUGCUUCUAGAUGUAGCAGCAACAUUAGCCUUCUUGACAAAUUCAG